AUUGAACGCUGGCGGCAUGCCUUACACAUGCAAGUCGAACGGCAGCACGGGGGCAACCCUGGUGGCGAGUGGCGAACGGGUGAGUAAUGCAUCGGAACGUGCCCAGUAGUGGGGGAUAACUAGUCGAAAGAUUAGCUAAUACCGCAUACGACCUAUGGGUGAAAGCGGGGGACCUUUACCGGCCUCGCGCUAUCGGAGCGGCCGAUGUCUGAUUAGCUAGUUGGCGGGGUAAGAGCCCACCAAGGCGACGAUCAGUAGCUGGUCUGAGAGGACGACCAGCCACACUGGGACUGAGACACGGCCCAGACUCCUACGGGAGGCAGCAGUGGGGAAUUUUGGACAAUGGGCGCAAGCCUGAUCCAGCCAUGCCGCGUGCGGGAAGAAGGCCUUCGGGUUGUAAACCGCUUUUGGCAGGAACGAAACGGCGCGAGCGAAUAUCUCGCGUUAAUGACGGUACCUGCAGAAUAAGCACCGGCUAACUACGUGCCAGCAGCCGCGGUAAUACGUAGGGUGCAAGCGUUAAUCGGAAUUACUGGGCGUAAAGCGUACGCAGGCGGCUUUGCAAGACAGGUGUGAAAUCCCCGGGCCUAACCUGGGAACUGCAUUUGUGACUGCAUGGCUAGAGUUUGUCAGAGGGGGGUGGAAUUCCACGUGUAGCAGUGAAAUGCGUAGAUAUGUGGAGGAACACCGAUGGCGAAGGCAGCCCCCUGGGAUGUGACUGACGCUCAUGUACGAAAGCGUGGGGAGCAAACAGGAUUAGAUACCCUGGUAGUCCACGCCCUAAACGAUGUCGACUAGUUGUCGGAGGGUAACUCCUUCGGUAACGCAGCUAACGCGUGAAGUCGACCGCCUGGGGAGUACGGUCGCAAGAUUAAAACUCAAAGGAAUUGACGGGGACCCGCACAAGCGGUGGAUGAUGUGGAUUAAUUCGAUGCAACGCGAAAAACCUUACCUACCCUUGACAUGCCACUAACGAAGCAGAGAUGCAUUAGGUGCCCGAAAGGGAAAGUGGACACAGGUGCUGCAUGGCUGUCGUCAGCUCGUGUC
This 1047-nucleotide ribosomal RNA is filed under the name uncultured bacterium. RNAcentral describes it as "bacterial SSU rRNA". It matches the Rfam family "Bacterial small subunit ribosomal RNA", at positions 28 to 1066 of the family's 1533-position model. The record is from RNAcentral.